This 2207-nucleotide long non-coding RNA is filed under the name Astyanax mexicanus (Mexican tetra). RNAcentral's name for it is "lncRNA (ENSAMXG00005020690.1)". The record is from RNAcentral. Lineage: Eukaryota; Metazoa; Chordata; Actinopteri; Characiformes; Acestrorhamphidae.
UAUGAUUUUCAGUGACGUUCCUUAUCAAACAUGAAAGCUUUUUAUGUAAUAUUGAAUAGAAGUUGUCAAGAUUUAGUGGUGUAAUGUCAGGCAGAAUUAUGACAAAAAUCCUGUCCUGUUAAGGGGUUAAACUCAAGAAAAUGUAUUCAUACGUCAGUAGUGGUUCAGGGUGCCGGAAGUGGGUAUUAUUGCAGGGUCGCAUGAAACAGGCAUUAUAAAAGUGUUGCAUUUUAUAAAUAAAGGGAUGUCUGUGAGGGCAUUACAGUGCUGAAAAAAGGCUAAAAACUCUAAAGUAACAAACAUGCUGGAACAGAAACUGAGGAACUAAGCAGAUCAAUCAGUUUCAGAAUAAGUUUAAGGUCAGUAUUUAGACCCUUCUGACUUUCACGUAAGCUCUUGUACGGGAACAGGAAGACUCUUCUGACUGUGCCUAGCACCAUCACAGCAAAAUCUUCUGAGGUGGUUUGGGUUUCCUGGACAUACAAGUGCCAUGUGACUUCAAGAAGCUGCACAAAAAGAAACAAAAAGAAUAGCUAGUUAAAGAAAAGAGAAGUAAGAGGAAUACAACCAUUCAGCUUUUAGCUCUGGAGAGUCAUGGAGAAUAUGUGGAUGUUGGGAGCCGUGCUGGUUCUGGCUGUCUGUCUCACCUCAGGAGAAGCGGUCAGAAUGUCUUACAAAACAACUUCUGAAAAUCUUGAAGGUUCCAGGAAUGAGAGUGUUGAAGUGGGCACCAACAUAACUUUACUCUGUACCAAUAAAAAGGUAGCAUGGGAUGAGAUGAUUUAUGUAAUCUGGAAAAUCUACUCACAAGAGAGGAACUGUACAAUCUCUAUGGCCUCAAAUGACGCUGCCUAUGAUGACUGUAAUGAUGGAAAGUGGAUCAGUGAAAGUGAAAACUACAGCCUGAUCUUCCCUCAUUUUUCAAUCCAAAAUGAAGGCCAUUACAUCUGUGACAUGUCUUACCAAGUCGGGGGCUAUAUGGAAUCAAUUCUUGUGUCUUCAUAUGACCGUCCGACACUGACUGGCUGGCUGGAAAAGGAUAAAGAUGGUCACACUUUUGCCGUCUGUAGAGCUCAGGGUAAACCAGCAGCUUCCAUUUACUGGAAAACCCCGUGGAACGUCUCCUCACCCAGAACAAACUCAUCUAUAAAUUUUACAGUGACGAGCCGUUUACAGCUGCCUCAUAAGGCAUCUCCCAUUGAAUUGACCUGCGUAGUCCCCUCCAGCUCCUGCAACAAGGAAGAGAUUCAAUUCAACACCUUCCAGGAUCGACAAACACCAGAUUUCUCUAUUGCAUGGCCUUUCAUUCUUCUGGGUGUCUGUGUGACAUGCAUCACCGUUACUUUUCUGACCGCUCUCUACAUCAUGCGAGAAAAAAUUGGACAGUUAAGUGUAUUCAGAAAGCUUUGCUGCACACCUCAAAUCCCAACACCUGCAAGAGAAGAAAAAACACCACAGCCUCGUGAUCCUGAAGAAGUGGAGCCCUACGCCAGCUACGUGCAGAGGGUCAACUCCAUCUACAACUCAUCUGCUGAACUUUUCAAUGCCUGAUCUGUACACUCUCUCUCUCACACACAAAUUACAGAGUCUUACACAAUCUGAUGAAACUGCAGAUUAUGAUUGAUGACUAUACAGUGCAGAGUGGAGUAAGGUGUACAGAUAAAGAUGACGCAUGCAGCACUCACUGCUGCACACCUACUCUGUGGACAAAAAGUGUGUGUAAGUGUGUGUGUACACUAAUACGGCUGGAAACAAAAGACUAAUGAAACCCCUUCAAAAGAGCUUCCUCCAACAAACAGACGCUGAUGAGAGAAACGCAAACCAGAGUGAGUCAGUUCGAAAGGCAGAGUGGAAAGAGAAGGAUUUGCCUUCACUGCACAAUAUGAAGAAUCGUCCAGAGGGCUGGCUUAGACUCUAGAACUGAAGCGUGAAGAACCGUGCUACUACAAAGACAUUUAGACCUCAAAACCACAAACCUGAACAGAACUGAGCCAGACCUGACGUUAAAGAGCUUGGAAAGACUCUAGGAGGUUACCUGCUGAUCAUAUUUGCACUUACUGCUCAGGAGUGAAAGCAAAAAUGCUUUAUAUACAAUUUAACCAUUGUGUGUGUAUAUAUAUAUAUAUAUAUAUAUAUAUAUAUAUAUUCAGUUAGCAAGGUGUGGACAGUUUUAAAAAAUAAAGAUGCUUUAAAUGGUUCUUUAAGCA